AACGAACGCUGGCGGCAUGCCUAACACAUGCAAGUCGAACGAGACCUUCGGGUCUAGUGGCGCACGGGUGCGUAACGCGUGGGAACCUGCCUUUAGGUUCGGAAUAACUCAGAGAAAUUUGAGCUAAUACCGGAUGAUGUCUUCGGACCAAAGAUUUAUCGCCUUUAGAUGGGCCCGCGUUGGAUUAGCUAGUUGGUGGGGUAAAGGCCUACCAAGGCGACGAUCCAUAGCUGGUCUGAGAGGAUGAUCAGCCACACUGGGACUGAGACACGGCCCAGACUCCUACGGGAGGCAGCAGUGGGGAAUAUUGGACAAUGGGCGAAAGCCUGAUCUAGCAAUGCCGCGUGAGUGAUGAAGGCCUUAGGGUUGUAAAGCUCUUUUACCCGAGAUGAUAAUGACAGUAUCGGGAGAAUAAGCUCCGGCUAACUCCGUG
This 433-nucleotide ribosomal RNA is filed under the name uncultured bacterium. RNAcentral's name for it is "partial 16S ribosomal RNA". It matches the Rfam family "Bacterial small subunit ribosomal RNA", at positions 29 to 507 of the family's 1533-position model. The record is from RNAcentral.